This 69-nucleotide transfer RNA is filed under the name Lonchorhina aurita (Common sword-nosed bat). Its description in RNAcentral is "tRNA-Ala". It matches the Rfam family "tRNA". Rfam says of the family: Transfer RNA (tRNA) molecules are approximately 80 nucleotides in length. Their secondary structure includes four short double-helical elements and three loops (D, anti-codon, and T loops). Further hydrogen bonds mediate the characteristic L-shaped molecular structure. tRNAs have two regions of fundamental functional importance: the anti-codon, which is responsible for specific mRNA codon recognition, and the 3' end, to which the tRNAs corresponding amino acid is attached (by aminoacyl-tRNA synthetases). tRNAs cope with the degeneracy of the genetic code in two manners: having more than one tRNA (with a specific anti-codon) for a particular amino acid; and 'wobble' base-pairing, i.e. permitting non-standard base-pairing at the 3rd anti-codon position. The record is from RNAcentral. Lineage: Eukaryota; Metazoa; Chordata; Mammalia; Chiroptera; Phyllostomidae.
AAGGGCUUAGCUUAAGAAAAGUAGUUGAUUUGCAUUCAGCUGAUGUAGGAUAGGGUCCUGCAGUCCUUA